GUAAUGGCGUACAUCUGUUCUUAAAGUUUACUUGGUAAGGAACAUUCUUUAAACUUCAAAACAGGGGGAGAGGCAUGUUGUUUUUUUUUUUUUGUCUUAGUCAGAACAUUUUUUUGCGCUUUUUUAUUUUUUCGACGCUAUAAAUCAAAAUCAUGAUAAUUUGUACCAAAAAAUAAAAUCACAAAUUAUAAUUUUUAUAUUAAUUGUUAAUUAUUUAUAACGUAUAUAUUGAUUUUGUACAAAUUUCAAUUUGUCCAAAAAAUGCUUGUAUAAAUUACAAUUUGUACAAAAUUUAACUAAAUUUGACUCGUAAAUUUCACUUAUAACUUGAUGUUCAAAAGGCAAUAUUUAUAGAUUAUCAUUGAUCAUCUCAACAAGAUUGAUUGUCUUGUUUGAGCAGGGACGGCGAAAGCGAGAAAUGCAAUCGAGUUGAGCUGAUCAAUGAUAAUCUGUUUACCGCUAUUUUACCGAUGACGACGUUGUCAAUUUCAUGUCAAUUUCGUUAGCAACGCCACGUGUGUCCUUAGUUUCUAGUGAUAAUUUUCCAUCUCAAGCGAGUAGCAUGAUAUGAAAAAUUUUCACAAAAACAGAUCAAAGGAAAAAUGCACGAAAUAGCGAUAAAUUAAGUUAUCUCGAUACACAAUGAUGGCCUUUUAUAUAUUUUCAACAGUCAUACAUUUUAAUUGCCUUGAGUAAAACCUUAAUUGUGUGCAUUCAAAUCAUUUGAUGAUAUACUGUAAACAUGUGUGGCCAGCAAUGCUGAUCAGCAGGAUAUAUUUGUCCACGGAAUUCUGAACCUAGCAGAGAAUAACACAUGAAAGCGCAUCCAUGUGAUCACCAAAGUGUUCUGGUAUCAUAUUGAACAGCUGUGGGAAUUUUUGUCCAGAAUUCAAAAUGAAGCUGUUAAAACACAUGUAUAUUCACAACAACGGGUAAAGAGCAACUUUCGCUACGUGAAACAGUUAAAAAGCUUUUAAUAAAACUAGUGGUUAUGGGUUUUUUCAUUUAAAUACAAAACGGGGCAGGAGGGUGCAGCUCUUCUUAAUAUAAAAACAACAUCUUUUUUUAUUCUGAAAAAUUAGGGUUAGCCAAGCAUGCACGGGCCAAGUUGUUAGUUACAUUGUAGUUCAUACUAAGAUGUCAGUGAAAGUAGCUUGAACUCUAGCCAUGUGCAAAUUAGUUUGCAUCAUACAUUUCGUAUCAAUAUUUUAAAUUCAAAAAUAUUCCUGAUUCAAAUAAUUGCUUGUUUAAUAUGUGAAAAAGCAAAUGAUAUUGUGCAAUUCCCAAUCCCAUGAUUAUAUCACAUGCUGAAACAAAUUAUAUUAAACUAUUUUUGUAUUUUGUUAAUAAGGUAAACUGUUCCAUGUAUUAUGUAAUGUGCUAUUAAGUUGUCAUGUAUGUCAUUAUGGGUAUAAUAGUAUGUCAUUUGGUGGUAUAAUUGUGCAUUAUUUUAAUAAAUAUUAAACAGAAAUGAUAUACCGGGGAUUCAUUAUUAUUCGUUUGAUACCAAUUUUCGUGGGUUUCGAGAGUACAGAUGAACCACGAAUAUAAACGUUUUAAAUGUUUAACAAAUUAUACAUUUUCUAUAGGCUUUGUAUGUUAAGACUAAAGUUGAUACUAUAAGCUGGUAGAGCAUCAAUUAAGGAUAAAGAUAAGCUAAAAUAAUUAAUUAUAGGUCAUGGACCUCCUUUUCGAGAUAUUUGAGAUUUAAAAUAUGGCGGGAAAAAGCGGAUUCGCACUUUUACUUUAUAUUUGCAUUGGAACUAUUUUGGUCUCAAAACAAAAGAAUCAUCUAAAAUUUUGGUAAAUGACCUUUCUUGAGCUAUUAAGUCUUAUAUGAAAAAAUAAAUGGGUGUUAUGGGGCAAAUUGUAUGGAAAAACAUCAAGGAACAUUUGACACAAAUUCCAAAACCUCACCUAAGUACAUCCUUAAUAUCCACAAAAUCUAAGUUUUUCUCAAUCCACGAAAAUUGAUACUAACGACAAUGACUGAAUCCACAGGAGUGUGUAUCAAUGCUUUUUUGCAAAACAAAAUCCUCAAUAUAAAGUAGUGUACACGCACAUGUUAAAAGUGAAGUACAGUCCAAUUUAGAACAAAUUGUAAUUUGGACAAGCAUUUACUAGUAUUAGACAACAUACAAAUUACAAUGUGUACAGUUAAAAUACAGAUUAUAAUUUGUACAAUUAUUUUUGUCAGUUGUAUUAUUAAUUAAGACAAUUUGUACAAAGUCAAAAUACAAAUUAUAAUUUGUACAAUUUUUUGUACGAAUCAUAAUUUGUACAAAAUGAUUACUUGUACACAACACAUACAAGAAACAGAAUUAGUGAUGAAUGCUUCAAAUUGUUUAAAAUUUUGGAGGAGUUACACGGGCCAAAAAUACGACAAAAAUCAAAUGAAGUGAAUAUUUGUAGUUGCAUAAAUUGAUGAUAUUUUGAUUUUAAAUGAAAAAUUUAAAGAGCACAUGCAACAUCUUGACGAAGUGCUUACUAGAUUACAAAAAGCAAAUUAUACUCCUAAGACUGAAAAUUGUCACUUUGUUUUUUUGAAAGUCACUUAUUUAUGCUAUUUCAAAAGAUGGUGUCAAGGUUGAGAACACAAUAAUUGUAAUUUUGAAAUUUAUACAGUUCCUAAACGUCAGUGCGAGGUAAUAUGACAGUUGUUAUGUCUAUUUUUUAAAAUUCAUAACCAACAUGUCGAAAGUCACGUAGUUCUUAAACCCAUCCAAUUUUUAUUUAUAAAUAGAAUGAAAUUCAAAACAGUGUGGCUGUGGCCAUUGAUUGACACAUUAAAUUCAUCCAUUGACUGGGACAAUUUAGGUGAACGUUUGUAUGUAACGACCAGACCACUGCUCACUAUGUACUUUUAAAGACACUUAAACUAUGGGUCACCAAAGGUUUUCAACACCUUAAUAAAGUAAUUCGAAAAAUUAAUCAGAAAUAACACGAUGUUUUAUUUUAUAUCAAUUAUAUAAAUCAAAACAUAAAGGUUAUUCCUGAUUAAUUUUUCGAAUUAUUUUAUAAUUAAAGGCGUUAAGAAACCUUUGGUUACCUCACAGUUUAAAUGUCUAUCGUAGGUACGUCGUGAACAGUGGUCGUUACAGACAAACGUUCACGUAAAUUGUCUCAGUCAAUGGAUGAAUUUAGCCACACUGUUUUGAAUUUCAUUCUAAGAGCAUAUGUAAGAAAGCUAGUCUAGUUUUGCCUUCAGACCAACACACAGUAAUUCAAGUUAUUAAUGCUAAUAAGUUGUGAUAAACUAAAAACGAAGAAAUAAAAAUGAACUCUUUUUAAAAUUGGAAUUAAACUCAUAUAAACUAGAACAAAACCGCCCGAGCGAGACUUGAAGACUACUUGAAAUAUUGAUUGUGAUACACAGCUUGGGUUCGUGUAACUCAAACUGUUUUAUUCACUGUUUCAGCUAAUGCAUUGUGUUGAUAUUUAUACAAUGUUAAUAUUAGUUUGUCAUUUGAAUGCCCAAUUAUUAGCUUCUGUCUCUGUGUUACACAGGUGCUCCCAGAACGGAGGAAAGAACACAGAGAAGAAGAAGGAAGAUAACCUAGAUAACCUAGAAAACUGAUGAUUAAAACAUUUCUCAGAGGUGCUAGAUUGUAGUAUUUAUUUUUAUUUUUCGAAAGGUGCGAGUCAAGCUCUCGACUGUCCUUGUGUGAUACAGGUGCUCCAAGAACGGAGGAAAUAGCUCAGAGAUGAAGGCAAUUUUUGAACUCUCUGAUGAUUUAAUAUCAAAUUUUUAGAAAAAAGUAAAAUCACAAAAAUACUGAACUCAGAGGAAAAUCAAUUCGGAAAGUCCAUUAUCACAUGGCAAAAUCAAAUAACAAAAC
Molecule: long non-coding RNA, 3839 nt
Filed under: Mytilus galloprovincialis (Mediterranean mussel)
Lineage: Eukaryota; Metazoa; Mollusca; Bivalvia; Mytilida; Mytilidae
Source: RNAcentral